UCUUGAGAGUGGCGAACGGGUGAGUAACACGUAGGUGAUCUACCGCAGGGGUUGGGGAUGGCCCAUGGAAACAUGGGGUAAUACCGAAUACGCUCAUUUGGCUGUGGCCGGAUGAGGAAAGGCGCUUCGGCGCCGCCCUGCGAUGAGCCUGCGCCCCAUUAGCUAGUUGGUAGGGUAACGGCCUACCAAGGCGACGAUGGGUAGCCGGCCUGAGAGGGUGAUCGGNCACACUGGGACUGAGAUACGGCCCAGACUCCUACGGUAUGCAGCAGCUAAAGAAUCUUCCGCAAUGGACGAAAGUCUUGACGGAGCGACGCCGCGUGGGUGAAGACGGCCGGAAGGUUGUCAAGCCCUUUUCUCGUUGAGGAAUAAGCCACGGAGGGGAAAUGCCUGUGGGAUGACGGUAGGCGAGGAAUAAGUCCCGGGCAAUUACGUGCCAGCAGCAGCGGUAACAGGUAUGGGACGAGCGUUGUUCGGAAUCAUUGGGCGUAAAGGGCGCGUAAGCGGCGAGGUAAAGCCUGGUGUUGAAAGACCGCAGGUAAAUGGCAGAACCGCGCUAGGAAUUGUUUGCUUGAGUACAAGAGGGGGGAACUGGAAUUACAAGGUGUUGGGGUGAAAUCUGUAGAUAUGUGGAAGAACAGCGGGUGAGAAGGGGAGCUCCUGGUCAUGAAACGGACGCUGAGGCGCGAAAGCGUGGGGAGCGAACAGGAUUAGAUACCCUGGGUUAGUCCACGCUGUAAACGAUGUGCACUAGGUGUUGGGCCACGAAGGUUCAGUGCCGGAGUCAACGCGUUUAAGUGCACCGCCUGGGGAGUAUGCUCGCAAGGGUGAAACUCAAAGGAAUUGACGGGGGCCCGCACAAGCGGUGGAGCAUGUGGUUUAAUUCGAUGAUACGCGAGAAACCUUACCAGGGCUUGACAUAUGCCGGAGUGUGCAGGAGACUGCGCAGCCCUUCGGGGCCGGUAUACAGGUGCUGCAUGGCCGUCGUCAGCUCGUGCCGUGAGGUGUUGGGUUAAGUCCCGCAACGAGCGCAACCCCUACCGUCUGUCUGCCAGCAUUGAGUUGGGGACUCAGGCGGAACUGCCGGUGACAAACCGGAGGAAGGUGGGGACGACGUCAGGUCAUCAUGGCCCUUAUGUCCUGGGCUACACACGUGCUACAAUGGCCGAUACAGAGCGAAGCAACACCGCGAGGUAGAGCAAAUCGCAGAAAGCCGGUCUCAGUUCGGAUUGGAGUCUGAAACCCGACUCCAUGAAGUUGGAAUCGCUAGUAAUCGCGCAUC
This 1282-nucleotide ribosomal RNA is filed under the name uncultured organism. RNAcentral's name for it is "bacterial SSU rRNA". It matches the Rfam family "Bacterial small subunit ribosomal RNA", at positions 87 to 1350 of the family's 1533-position model. The record is from RNAcentral.